CCUACGGGAGGCAGCAGUGGGGAAUAUUGCACAAUGGGCGAAAGCCUGAUGCAGCGACGCCGCGUGAAGGAUGAAGUAUUUCGGUAUGUAAACUUCUAUCAGCAGGGAAGAAAAUGACGGUACCUGACUAAGAAGCCCCGGCUAACUACGUGCCAGCAGCCGCGGUAAUACGUAGGGGGCAAGCGUUAUCCGGAUUUACUGGGUGUAACGGGAGCGGAGACGGCGAUGCAAGCCAGAUGUGCAAGCCGGGGGCUCAACCCCUGGACUGCAUGUGGAACUGUG
Molecule: ribosomal RNA, 282 nt
Filed under: uncultured bacterium
Lineage: Bacteria
Description: partial 16S ribosomal RNA
Rfam family: Bacterial small subunit ribosomal RNA
Source: RNAcentral